Molecule: ribosomal RNA, 469 nt
Filed under: uncultured bacterium
Lineage: Bacteria
Description: partial 16S ribosomal RNA
Rfam family: Bacterial small subunit ribosomal RNA
Source: RNAcentral
GACGAACGCUGGCGGCGUGCUUAACACAUGCAAGUCGAACGGAAAGGCCCUGCUUGCAGGGUGCUCGAGUGGCGAACGGGUGAGUAACACGUGGGUGAUCUGCCCCUUACUUUGGGAUAAGCCUGGGAAACUGGGUCUAAUACUGGAUAGGACCAUGCUGUAGGUGGUGUGGUGGAAAGAUUAGUUUCGGUAAGGGAUGAGCUCGCGGCCUAUCAGCUUGUUGGUGGGGUAAUGGCCUACCAAGGCGUCGACGGGUAGCCUGCCUGAGAGGGUGGACGGCCACAUUGGGACUGAGAUACGGCCCAGACUCCUACGGGAGGCAGCAGUGGGGAAUAUUGCACAAUGGGCGCAAGCCUGAUGCAGCGACGCCGCGUGGGGGAUGACGGCCUUCGGGUUGUAAACUCCUUUCAGCCAUGACGAAGCCCUUGUGGUGACGGUAGUGGUAGAAGAAGCACCGGCUAACUACGUG